Molecule: ribosomal RNA, 490 nt
Filed under: uncultured bacterium
Lineage: Bacteria
Description: partial 16S ribosomal RNA
Rfam family: Bacterial small subunit ribosomal RNA
Source: RNAcentral
AGUGAACGCUGGCGGUAGGCCUAACACAUGCCAGUCGAACGGCAGCACAGGAGAGCUUGCUCUCUAGGUGGCGAGUGGCGGACGGGUGAGGAAUACAUCGGAAUCUGCCCAGUCGUGGGGGAUAACGUAGGGAAACUUACGCUAAUACCGCAUACGACCUUCGGGUGAAAGAGGGGGAUCGCAAGACCUCUCGCGAUUGGAUGAGCCGAUGUCGGAUUAGCUAGUUAGCGGGGUAAUGGCCCACCAAGGCGACGAUCCGUAGCUGGUCUGAGAGGAUGAUCAGCCACACUGGAACUGAGACACGGUCCAGACUCCUACGGGAGGCAGCAGUGGGGAAUAUUGGACAAUGGGCGCAAGCCUGAUCCAGCCAUACCGCGUGGGUGAAGAAGGCCUUCGGGUUGUAAGGCCCUUUUGUUGGGAAAGAAAUCUUUCAGGCUAAUACCCUGGGAGGAUGACGGUACCCAAAGAAUAAGCACCGGCUAACUUCGUG